This 468-nucleotide ribosomal RNA is filed under the name uncultured bacterium. RNAcentral describes it as "partial 16S ribosomal RNA". It matches the Rfam family "Bacterial small subunit ribosomal RNA", at positions 28 to 507 of the family's 1533-position model. The record is from RNAcentral.
GACGAACGCUGGCGGCGUGCUUAACACAUGCAAGUCGAACGGAAAGGCCCUGCUUUUGUGGGGUGCUCGAGUGGCGAACGGGUGAGUAACACGUGAGUAACCUGCCCUUGACUUUGGGAUAACUUCAGGAAACUGGGGCUAAUACCGGAUAGGAGCUCCUGCUGCAUGGUGGGGGUUGGAAAGUUUCGGCGGUUGGGGAUGGACUCGCGGCUUAUCAGCUUGUUGGUGGGGUAGUGGCUUACCAAGGCUUUGACGGGUAGCCGGCCUGAGAGGGUGACCGGCGACAUUGGUACUGAGAUACGGCGCAGACUGCAACGGGAGGCAGCGGUGGGGAAUAUUGCACAAUGGGGGGAAGCCUGAUGCGGCGACGCCGCGUGCGGGAUGACGGCCUUCGGGGUGUAAACCGCUUUCGCCUGUGACGAAGCGUGAGUGACGGUAAUGGGUAAAGAAGCACCGGCUAACUACGUG